CAGUUCCCAUUCAGAGGUGUGUGCUGCGAUGUCACUUCUCUUUAUCCCAACCGCUUGUGAAAACGUCAGAGACAUGGGUCUAUUGUUUAUUUCCUCCACGCUGACGUCUGUGAGGGUUUUUAUGUGGUUUUAUGUGGGGAACUGUGUUUUCACAUGUUUGCAAAUGCAGAUGUAGUGAUGUCAAUAGUGUACUUCUGUAUAUGUGUGUGAGUGUGUGUGUGUGAGUUGGCUCUGUCCUCCUGAAUUUCCAGAGAAUCCAGACAGUACACACCUUAUUGCAACACAUCACAUUGUGACACCCAUUCUAAGGUAUGGUACACAGAGUGCUCACCCCUUCCCUUUUACACUUCCCUCUUCUCGUUUACUGAGUACUUUCUUCUGUUGCUCAAUACGCUGUUUUUUUGUAGGCGGCUGCAUUUUAUUGGAACAACUCUCUUGAGGGGGUGUUUUUCUAAGGGCCACAAAUUGGUAAUUAUACAAAGCUGAAAAUCAUUGCUUGACCAGUGGAUGCUUUUGCCGCAAAGCCUCAGUUUUAUUUUAGAGUCUUCUUUUUCUUUCUAAAAAAGAGCAAAAGGGUAAAACUUUUUCCUGGUCAUAAAAGCAAAAUCAUUGGAUAACACUGGAAUGGCUCACUGGCUUAGAGAGUGUUUUUCUUGGCAGUUUCAGGAUGUCCUGUUCCAUAAGGGAGCCCCCUUUUGGCAUGUCUGUCUGAAUGCGUGUGUGCAUGUUUGUCUAGAAAUUCUGUUUAUACUACUACGUGUAAGUGCCUGUAUUACUUGUCUAAUACAUGUCUGUACCUGGGUUAUUUUUAAUGUGUACGCACUGUUUUGUUUUCCAUCUGCUUCCACUAUAAAUAAAGUCUGUUGAAAAGAGAAAAAAGGGAAACCUGACAUUGGUGCGUGCGAACGCCGCUGAUCUCGUGUCCUCAGGUCAGACGUGUGACCUGCACUGAAGGACCCCUGUCGAGAACAGUGCUGUUCCCAGAGCAGCCACACCCUGAACACCAUGAAGAUGACUAUUUCCACCCACCUCACCCCACCCUACCCUACCCCGGGGCUCUGGGCUGUAAACCCAACAUGCAAAUCCUGCCUGUCCAAACAGGCAGGGGGACUGAGAUUCAAAUAAUGACACUGCUUUUGUCCUUCCUCUCUUUCUCUCUCUGAUCUCUUCAUAUGCUGUACAUAUACUACAGUUGAAUCUGGCGGUGCUGGUCGAGCUUCUGGCACAGUGACCCCCACACGCAUCACCUCCCUCAGUCUGUCUCUCACUCCCCAGUUUUUUUCCCCUCCCUGUCAGCAGGCUAACCGCUGAGGGAUGCUGAAAUAUCACUGACUUCAUCCGCCACCCACCCACCCACAAGCCCCCUUUGCAUUUGGUUAUCCACUUAGUUCCUUUCACACUCCGUCUCAUUAAAUUAUGCUGACCAUGUGGAUUUUUUCUUUCCUUUUUUUUUUUUUGUUCUAAAUCACAUUAAGGUCCUUUGUUUUUGUAAGAAGCAGUCAGGGGGUCACAUCAGACCACAGUGGAGUGAGCAUGCAAGCCCAAAGGUACAGAGAAAGAUGCUUACCAAGGGAAAGUUACAAUUUAUGUGCGUGUCGCCAAAGAUUAGCCACUCUUUUAUUUACGGAACCAGUUUUAGAAUGAGGGAAGAUACAGUAUCAUACUAUGUAGUGUCAAGCUGAUGUAAGCUUUCCUUUUUAGGAGGAACAUUUUAAAAUAGCUAUUCUCUAAACUCAAAAUUACAAUGUCAUUAAAAUAGUGAAAUACUGAGCAUUGAUGUUUUGAUGUAAACACUAUACACAUAUUUACAUUCUAUACAUGAUAAAAUACAACCCCCCCCACCACCACCACCUUCAAAUGUGCCUAUUGUAACUUCAUUUUGCAUGAUUGAACUUGACUGUACAGUUUGAUAGUGGAAGGCUAUUUCGCUCCACUCAUCUCCAAUCUGAGUCAUGUUUAUGAAAACACGAGUGUGGACGAAAUCACAGGCCAAUAUUAAACAAGUGUGAUGUGGAAAUCUAAAACUUUCUAGCGCACGUACACUGAUUAUGUGAUUUCCUGUUAAGAAAGGGAGGUCUUACACUAUGUUCACGAUUUAAAUUGUUUCAAAAUAAAAUGCAUUUGCAUAUUCAAAGAUUUUGAAAUUGUCAGUGAGAGGGACGGAGGUGUAAUUUGAAGGUUUUUUAAAUAGCUUAUUCAGGUUUGUGCGGUACAAAACGUCAAAUGCAGACAAACGAACAUAGAUGUGUUCUUUUAACACUAGAUUUAUCCCUAUGAAUCACUUUUGAUAGUAGUUGAUCACCCUUAUGGUGGUCUCUUUCUUUUUUAAGUUAUAGGAUUCCUGAAAGGCAAGAAAGUUGUUCUGUUUCCGUUAUUUUAACUAAAAUGAAUGCUGAUUAUAACAAUAGAAUUAUUCAUAUAGAACUUCUUGAAACAGACUUACAAAGUGCUCAAAAGUAAAACAAUGAAAAAUCCUAAAAUAAUCAGAAUCUAAAAGUAAAACACAGAAUAAAACUGUCAAAUUUAAAUAAAACACAUUACAUUUGUAGUGUGACUUCUGCAAUCUUUAUGUGUGUAGAUAUCUUUAAAUGUCAGACACACAUGUUUGUGUGUGGACACAUAUAUCAUAGCUGUGGUUAGUGCAAAGCCCCAACUCCUAAGCCUUUGUUUCCUUUAUUGUGGCUUUAGCACACCAAGAUCAAACAAGCUUAUCAGAUUCUUCAUAAUUCAUUCCAUGUGAGAGGAGGGAUAUUAUUGGUCUCAUUUAAAUGAGAUCAAUAGGUCGAUUCAGGAUGAUCGUGAUGAGUGUCUGACUUAUUAACAGGCUCUUGGCCGACUUCUUUUGUUCUAUGAUUUAAAAUUAUCUAAAUACACGCAUUCGAACCGUUACUAAUGAUUUACUGUUUCUCAGAGUGAACUUGACACAACAAAACACCUCUCCCUUCACUCUGCUAAACUAAAUUAUGUGUGGGUAUUUUAACAGAGCAUAGUUAGGCAGGAGCAUCUGCUGUUCCUACCCACACAGUGCCAACAUGGCAGACAGCCUAAUGGCUGAUGCCAGGUGGCAAUGCGAGGGCACCGUGACGAAACACACAUCCGCACUGUGGCUCUUCCGGCCGGCCAUGUUCUCAAGGAGUUAACAGUCCGAUCCGAGUUAGGUUGCGUACUUGUUGUUGUACUAGUACAACAUAAAUCGAUUUGCAGUGUCUUUAAGCUUUAUCCAGUUUUAUUUUGUUAGUUUGUGAGGAAGAAGCUCAGUGAGUUAACUCUUUGUCACAAACAGGGUCUGCGCUGGAUUGCCUUAAUGUUUUCUUUCAGAAAAUCUUUAUGCUGCUACAUGUCAUAACAUGAGAGGAGGAGGAGCCUUAGACCAGCAUA
Long non-coding RNA from Sparus aurata (gilthead seabream), 3378 nucleotides. Lineage: Eukaryota; Metazoa; Chordata; Actinopteri; Spariformes; Sparidae. The record is from Ensembl.